This 497-nucleotide ribosomal RNA is filed under the name uncultured bacterium. RNAcentral's name for it is "partial 16S ribosomal RNA". It matches the Rfam family "Bacterial small subunit ribosomal RNA", at positions 28 to 507 of the family's 1533-position model. The record is from RNAcentral.
GAUGAACGCUGGCGGCGUGCCUAAUACAUGCAAGUCGAGCGAACGGACGAGAAGCUUGCUUCUCUGAUGUUAGCGGCGGACGGGUGAGUAACACGUGGAUAACCUACCUAUAAGACUGGGAUAACUUCGGGAAACCGGAGCUAAUACCGGAUAAUAUUUUGAACCGCAUGGUUCAAUAGUGAAAGACGGUCUUGCUGUCACUUAUAGAUGGAUCCACGCUGCAUUAGCUAGUUGGUAAGGUAACGGCUUACCAAGGCAACGAUGCAUAGCCGACCUGAGAGGGUGAUCGGCCACACUGGAACUGAGACACGGUCCAGACUCCUACGGGAGGCAGCAGUAGGGAAUCUUCCGCAAUGGGCGAAAGCCUGACGGAGCAACGCCGCGUGAGUGAUGAAGGUCUUCGGAUCGUAAAACUCUGUUAUUAGGGAAGAACAUAUGUGUAAGUAACUGUGCACAUCUUGACGGUACCUAAUCAGAAAGCCACGGCUAACUACGUG